GAUGAACGCUGGCGGCGUGCCUAAUACAUGCAAGUCGAGCGAACAGACGAGGAGCUUGCUCCUCUGACGUUAGCGGCGGACGGGUGAGUAACACGUGGAUAACCUACCUAUAAGACUGGGAUAACUUCGGGAAACCGGAGCUAAUACCGGAUAACAUGUUGAACCGCAUGGUUCAACAGUGAAAGACGGUUUUGCUGUCACUUAUAGAUGGAUCCGCGUCGCAUUAGCUAGUUGGUAAGGUAACGGCUUACCAAGGCAACGAUGCGUAGCCGACCUGAGAGGGGGAUUGGCCACACUGGAACUGAGACACGGUCCAGACUCCUACGGGGGGCAGCAGUAGGGAAUCUUCCGCAAUGGGCGAAAGCCUGACGGAGCAACGCCGCGUGAGUGAAGAAGGUCUUCGGAUCGUAAAACUCUGUUAUUAGGGAAGAACAAAUGUGUAAGUAACUAUGCACGUCUUGACGGUACCUAAUCAGAAAGCCACGGCUAACUACGUG
This 497-nucleotide ribosomal RNA is filed under the name uncultured bacterium. RNAcentral describes it as "partial 16S ribosomal RNA". It matches the Rfam family "Bacterial small subunit ribosomal RNA", at positions 28 to 507 of the family's 1533-position model. The record is from RNAcentral.